RNAcentral lists this ribosomal RNA (549 nucleotides) under uncultured Glomeromycotina. Its description in RNAcentral is "SSU rRNA". It matches the Rfam family "Eukaryotic small subunit ribosomal RNA", at positions 548 to 1098 of the family's 1831-position model. The record is from RNAcentral. Lineage: Eukaryota; Fungi; Glomeromycota.
UUGGAGGGCAAGUCUGGUGCCAGCAGCCGCGGUAAUUCCAGCUCCAAUAGCGUAUAUUAAAGUUGUUGCAGUUAAAAAGCUCGUAGUUGAAUUUCGGGGUUAGUAGGCUGGUCAUGCCACCGGUAUGUACUGGUCUUUCUGAUUCCUCCUUCCUGAUGAACUGUAAUGCCAUUAAUUUGGUGUUGCAGGGAAUCUGGACUGUUACUUUGAAAAAAUUAGAGUGUUUAAAGCAGGCUAACGCUUGAAUACAUUAGCAUGGAAUAAUGAAAUAGGACGUUCGAUUCUAUUUUGUUGGUUUCUAGGAUUGACGUAAUGAUUAAUAGGGAUAGUUGGGGGCAUUAGUAUUCAAUUGUCAGAGGUGAAAUUCUUGGAUUUAUUGAAGACUAACUACUGCGAAAGCAUUUGCCAAGGAUGUUUUCAUUAAUCAAGAACGAAAGUUAGGGGAUCGAAGACGAUCAGAUACCGUCGUAGUCUUAACCAUAAACUAUGCCGACUAGGGAUCGGAUGAUGUUAAUUUUUUAAUGACUCAUUCGGCGCCUUACGGGAAAC